AGGCAGCAGUUAGGAAUAUUGGACAAUGGGCGAAAGCCUGAUCCGGCCAUGCCGCGUGUGUGAAGAAGGUCUUCGGAUUGUAAAGCACUUUAAGUUGGGAGGAAGGGCAGUAAAUUAAUACUUUGCUGUUUUGACGUUACCGACAGAAUAAGCACCGGCUAACUCUGUGCCAGCAGCCGCGGUAAUACAGAGGGUGCAAGCGUUAAUCGGAAUUACUGGGCGUAAAGCGCGCGUAGGUGGUUUGUUAAGUUGGGUGUGAAAUCCCCGGGCUCAACCUGGGAACUGCAUUCAAAACUGACAAGCUAGAGUAUGGUAGAGGGUGGUGGAAUUUCCUGUGUAGCGGUGAAAUGCGUAGAUAUAGGAAGGAACACCAGUGGCGAAGGCGACCACCUGGACUGAUACUGACACUGAGGUGCGAAAGCGUGGGGAGCAAACAGGAUUAGAUACCCUAGUAGUCC
Molecule: ribosomal RNA, 458 nt
Filed under: uncultured bacterium
Lineage: Bacteria
Description: bacterial SSU rRNA
Rfam family: Bacterial small subunit ribosomal RNA
Source: RNAcentral